UCCCUGAUGGCUCAGAUGGUAAAGCGUCUGCCUGCCAUCCGGGGAACCCAGGUUCGAUUCCUGGGCUGGGAA
Molecule: transfer RNA, 72 nt
Filed under: Ovis aries (sheep)
Lineage: Eukaryota; Metazoa; Chordata; Mammalia; Artiodactyla; Bovidae
Rfam family: tRNA
About the family: Transfer RNA (tRNA) molecules are approximately 80 nucleotides in length. Their secondary structure includes four short double-helical elements and three loops (D, anti-codon, and T loops).
Source: Rfam by way of RNAcentral